GGCACCUUCAGAGUGUUGGACAAUCCAGUUAACUAAUAUUUCUGGGUUUUCCAUGGAAUAUUGCUCUGUCAGCUAGGCUGAAGUACAGUGGCACGAUCUUGACUCACUGCAAUCUCUGCCUCUCGAGUAGCAUCAGUUUAAGGGAAGACACGAGAUCAUGGGUUUAAGUGAGGCUUCAUCAUGCCAAGACAACGUGAUCAGAUCCAUUGUUUACUAUAUGGUCAGAAGAUUCUGAAGGCACGAAGACACACUUCUCUGGGCCCUGGGAGACUUCUGACAGGAGAAGUCACAUGCCUAGGAGGUAUCCUAACAGGGUGAUGCAGCAUGAAGGCCCCCCUCAGACGCUGGUGCAAUGCUCUUGGACUUCCCAACCUCCAGAACCAUGAGUCAAACAAAUUUCUAUUGUUUAUAAAUUACCCAGUCUCAAGUAUUCUGUUAUAGCAACACAAUUGGACUAAGACAGAGGAUUACACGUAUCUUUCACAUGACUUCCUUGGGGCUUAAUACAAACCCUUGAGAGUUCUAGCCCAGAUGCAGCCUAGAAAUGUGAAGAUGAAGGAGGUAGGUAGUAGGGUUGUUGUUAACCCUAGGGGAAACCCUCCACUAUGGGAUUCUGAAAUGAGCAGAUAAAUGCUGCAGCCCCCCAAACUUGUGAAGAAAAAUUUUGAGAUUUAUCUUCUCUGGUUCUUCAGCACAUCACCAAGGCAUGGACCCGCAGUUGGCUCUAGCUGUAACUAGCUCAGUGAUGCAUCCUUCACCGUUUUUCUUUCUUUCCCCAUUUUUCUCUGUAUGCUUCCUUACUUUAGCUUCCUGGGAUUGACUCCCAAAUAAGCUACCUGAAGCCAAGUGUUUGCCCAAUCCACUGCUUUCAGGAAACCCAUUCUGAGACAUAAGAAAACAAAUCAAAUGCUAAUUCAGUGGUUCAGUUGAUAAAAAUAACAAAGACUCAGCCUAGUUGGCACCAGUGGAGACAAACAAAAGAGGACAACUUUGAUAUGCAUUUUAUAGACAGUCGUGAGGCAUGCAAAUUCGUAUAAUGUAUGCAGCAAAAGAAAGGGAAAUCUUCAGUGUGAUACAAUAGUUAGUCCACUGUAUACCUAGAAUUGUCUUUUUCAGAGAAAGAUGGUGGCCUCUGGAAAAGGUACAGGUUUAGGAGGAAGAUUGUUAAUUCAAUUUGGACAUGUUACAUCCAAACUAUAUUAAAUUCUUGAGAACUAUUUCUUUGAUAAUGGAUGAGUGAAGUCAGUUCAUUUCCAUGCUUCUUAUUUGUCUUAUCAGUAAAAGAAAAACUGUGAUGUCUAGUAUCCAGAUAUGUAAAAAGUAAAUGUAAUCUACCACAUUAAAGCCCAAAAUGCUUGAUGUUUUUGCAAAUAUAAAAUAAUAUGAUUUACUUUGGAGAUAAUAAAUUAAAUAAGUUUCCUAAACAUG
Long non-coding RNA from Cercocebus atys (sooty mangabey), 1428 nucleotides. RefSeq lists it as uncharacterized. The transcript has 5 exons. The record is from RefSeq and is a predicted model, not a curated record. NCBI's taxonomy places the organism in Eukaryota, Metazoa, Chordata, Mammalia, Primates, Cercopithecidae.